GCAUGGGCUUGGAUUUAUGACAGACCCAUCCCCCUGGGUCUCUCAUAGUGGCCCAUGCCAGAGCACCCUGACCCAGAACCAUUGCCCAGCCUCUGCCCAUUUGUUGCAGGACUGAAGCAGGCCUCACAGUA
Artibeus jamaicensis (Jamaican fruit-eating bat) is the source of this 131-nucleotide small nucleolar RNA. RefSeq annotates it as small nucleolar RNA SNORA42/SNORA80 family. The record is from RefSeq and is a predicted model, not a curated record. The transcript has a single exon. Lineage: Eukaryota; Metazoa; Chordata; Mammalia; Chiroptera; Phyllostomidae.